UAAAUUGAGAGUUUGAUCCUGGCUCAGGACGAACGCUGGCGGCGUGCCUAACACAUGCAAGUCGAGCGAUGAAGCCCUUCGGGGUGGAUUAGCGGCGGACGGGUGAGUAACACGUGGGUAACCUGCCUUAUAGAGGGGGAUAGCCUUCCGAAAGGAAGAUUAAUACCGCAUGAAAUGUUUUUAUCGCAUGGUAGAAACAUCAAAGGAGUAAUCCGCUAUAAGAUGGACCCGCGGCGCAUUAGCUAGUUGGUGAGGUAACGGCCCACCAAGGCGACGAUGCGUAGCCGACCUGAGAGGGUGAUCGGCCACAUUGGAACUGAGACACGGUCCAGACUCCUACGGGAGGCAGCAGUGGGGAAUAUUGCGCAAUGGGGGAAACCCUGACGCAGCAACGCCGCGUGAAUGAAGAAGGCCUUAGGGUUGUAAAGUUCUGUUUUCUGGGACGAUAAUGACGGUACCAGAGGAGGAAGCCACGGCUAACUACGUGCCAGCAGCCGCGGUAAUACGUAGGUGGCAAGC
Molecule: non-coding RNA, 519 nt
Filed under: Clostridium sulfidigenes
Lineage: Bacteria; Bacillati; Bacillota; Clostridia; Eubacteriales; Clostridiaceae
Description: Bacterial small subunit ribosomal RNA
Rfam family: Bacterial small subunit ribosomal RNA
Source: Rfam by way of RNAcentral